This 253-nucleotide unclassified non-coding RNA is filed under the name uncultured Thermomicrobiales bacterium. RNAcentral describes it as "contains 16S-23S intergenic spacer region". It matches the Rfam family "Bacterial small subunit ribosomal RNA", at positions 524 to 776 of the family's 1533-position model. The record is from RNAcentral. Lineage: Bacteria; Pseudomonadati; Thermomicrobiota; Thermomicrobia; Thermomicrobiales.
GACGUAGGAUCCGAGCGUUGUCCGGAGUUACUGGGCGUAAAGCGCGCGCAGGCGGUUACACGCAUCGGCGGUGAAAGCCCCCCGCUCAACGGGGGAGGGUCCGUCGUGAUGGUGUGACUGGAGGCAGGGAGAGGCCAGUGGAAUUCCGGGUGUAGUGGUGAAAUGCGUAGAGAUCCGGAGGAACACCAGUGGCGAAGGCGGCUGGCUGGACCUGACCUGACGCUGAGGCGCGAAGGCGUGGGGAGCAAACAGG